Molecule: long non-coding RNA, 230 nt
Organism: Neltuma alba
Lineage: Eukaryota; Viridiplantae; Streptophyta; Magnoliopsida; Fabales; Fabaceae
Exons: 2
Source: RefSeq, a predicted model, not a curated record
GUGGAUGCAAAGAACUAGGGUUUGGCCCAAGGUACCAAUGUGUCAAGAACUGUGAUGACGUCGUCCUUCACGAGGUGUGUUUCAAGGCUCAUCCUCAAGACCGGUCCAGAACCCAUCCAUAUACCGGUCACUGCAGAUUUCAAUUCCUCUGGAAACCUGCCGGUGGCCCGAACCGCCGGCUGUGCGAUGCUUGCGGCAGGGACGUUCGAGGGUUCGUGUAUCAUGAUAAA